Molecule: transfer RNA, 77 nt
Filed under: Campylobacterales bacterium
Lineage: Bacteria; Pseudomonadati; Campylobacterota; Epsilonproteobacteria; Campylobacterales
Description: tRNA-Ile
Rfam family: tRNA
About the family: Transfer RNA (tRNA) molecules are approximately 80 nucleotides in length. Their secondary structure includes four short double-helical elements and three loops (D, anti-codon, and T loops). Further hydrogen bonds mediate the characteristic L-shaped molecular structure. tRNAs have two regions of fundamental functional importance: the anti-codon, which is responsible for specific mRNA codon recognition, and the 3' end, to which the tRNAs corresponding amino acid is attached (by aminoacyl-tRNA synthetases). tRNAs cope with the degeneracy of the genetic code in two manners: having more than one tRNA (with a specific anti-codon) for a particular amino acid; and 'wobble' base-pairing, i.e. permitting non-standard base-pairing at the 3rd anti-codon position.
Source: RNAcentral
GGGACUAUAGCUCAGUUGGUUAGAGUGCACCCCUGAUAAGGGUGAGGUCUCAGGUUCAAAUCCUGAUAGUCCCACCA